RNAcentral lists this long non-coding RNA (388 nucleotides) under Penaeus japonicus. RNAcentral describes it as "uncharacterized LOC122245624". Lineage: Eukaryota; Metazoa; Arthropoda; Malacostraca; Decapoda; Penaeidae. The record is from RNAcentral.
GCACUUGUCUUAUUUUAGAAGAACAGUCUCGUCUCACAAUGAAGAUCAUUUCUUUAUUAUUAUCCGUUUUUGUGGCUCUGAGUGGCCUGAUGGGAUCAGCUCGCGCCACGCCCGACGCCCUCGCCCUGGCUGACCCUAGCCCCGUGGCUGACCCCGUGGCUGAUCCCGUGGCUGACCCAUGGUUCUUGCACAAGCGAAAGCACUACUACCCUCGCCGCCGCUACUAUCCCCGCUACCCCUACCACUACUGGUGAAUGAAGGCGACGGCGACCGCGACUUCCGCCCUCUCGGAUCUUCAGACUGGGACAUCCCUCCGGCGCCUCUUUUGACUUUUGAAACACAUCAUCAUUUCAUUAUCAAAUCUAUGAUAAUAAACCGGAUAAAAUCA